This is a long non-coding RNA of Astatotilapia calliptera (eastern happy), 888 nucleotides long. The record is from Ensembl. Lineage: Eukaryota; Metazoa; Chordata; Actinopteri; Cichliformes; Cichlidae.
AAUGCUCCACUACCUUUUUUUUUUUUUUUUUUACUUUGAUUUUUAUUAGGUUAUUUUAUCAUUGUGGACAUACAGUAAAGAAAAUAACAAACAGACAUACAAAUGGGUCUAUAAUUCUUGCAGUAUUCUUUGUUUUUUCCUUCUUUGGGUAAGAUUGUUAUAAUAGCUUCUCCCCAUGAUGGUGGAGCUAUUCCCUGAUUCAGAGUCCAGUUGAAGCAAGAUAGAAGAAGUGGCUUGAGUUCUUCUUUGAAAACUUUGUAACUUUGUAGGUGUGAUCACAUUGAUGCCACAAUGGACGACUGAUCAAUGCUCCACUACCAAAAGGAAGCCAAGCCCUGCCACCCUUUACAACAAAACAAGGUGUGAUCACAUUGAUGCCACAAUGGACGACUGAUCAAUGCUCCACUACCAAAAGGAAGCCAAGCCCUGCCACCCUUUACAACAAAACAAGGUGUGAUCACAUUGAUGCCACAAUGGACGACUGAUCAAUGCUCCACUACCUUUUUUUUUUUUUUUUUACUUUGAUUUUUAUUAGGUUAUUUUAUCAUUGUGGACAUACAGUAAAGAAAAUAACAAACAGACAUACAUAUAAACAAACAGAGUCUGGAGUUUACAUAUCUUUCUCCAUUUAUCACAUUGCAGAAAAAAAAAGAAAACCUAUUAUGUUAUUUCAUUUGUGUCACUUCUGAAUGUUUUCCACUUCCUCCAUAGUCUGUCGUAUUUACCUCCCAUCAGUCUAAUGUUGAGUGUUAUUUUUUCCAUCUCUGAGAUAUCCUCUACAAUACUUGCAGUAUUCUUUGUUUUUUCCUUCUUUGGGUAAGAUUGUUAUAAUAGCUUCUCCCCAUGAUGGUGGAGCUAUUCCCUGAUUCAGAGUCCAGUUGAAGCAAG